GUGGGGAAUAUUGCACAAUGGGCGAAAGCCUGAUGCAGCAACGCCGCGUGAGGGACGACGGCCUUCGGGUUGUAAACCUCUUUUAGUAGGGAAGAAGCGAAAGUGACGGUACCUGCAGAAAAAGCACCGGCUCACUACGUGCCAGCAGCCGCGGUAAUACGUAGGGUGCAAGCGUUAUCCGGAAUUAUUGGGCGUAAAGAGCUCGUAGGCGGUCUGUCGCGUCUGCUGUGAAAACUGGAGGCUCAACCUCCAGCCUGCAGUGGGUACGGGCAGACUAGAGGGCGGUAGGGGAGAUUGGAAUUCCUGGUGUAGCGGUGGAAUGCGCAGAUAUCAGGAGGAACACCGAUGGCGAAGGCAGAUCUCUGGGCCGUAACUGACGCUGAGGAGCGAAAGCGUGGGGAGCGAACAGGAUUAGAAACCCCAGUAGUCC
This 430-nucleotide ribosomal RNA is filed under the name uncultured bacterium. RNAcentral describes it as "partial 16S ribosomal RNA". It matches the Rfam family "Bacterial small subunit ribosomal RNA", at positions 354 to 796 of the family's 1533-position model. The record is from RNAcentral.